This 1128-nucleotide long non-coding RNA is filed under the name Struthio camelus australis. RNAcentral's name for it is "lncRNA (ENSSCUG00000012240.1)". Lineage: Eukaryota; Metazoa; Chordata; Aves; Struthioniformes; Struthionidae. The record is from RNAcentral.
GGGCAUAAAUUCAUUCUGAAGGGAAGGCAGGAGAAAUAAAGGAACGUAAUAGCUGAGCGAGAUUUGUCUCAUGUCUUCUUCGUUUUAGGGCCUAAUCCACAGUCCAUUGGAGCCGGUGGUUCACAAGCAGAGCUUGGCUAAGGAUGGCCGGGGAGAGUCAGCCAUGGCUGUAAAGUUCUGCUUCUUUUCUGCCUUGGCUGGAACUGGUGGCAAGAUAUUGUCACUAAUGGCCCUGUGGUAGUAGGGGCUAAGACACCUUCUGUGGAAGACAACCCUGCAGCCUCAGCUACCUGCCACGUGUUUCGGAGGCACCGCCUGUGGGGAAGAGAUGGAGGAGCAGUGUCUUGGGACAGACUGAGUUGGCGGGCUUGAUGGAGAAGACGAGGCUGCACAAAUCGCUCUACUCAUAAACACCACCCUGGUCAAGGAUUUCAAUGGACCAACUGGCUGUGUCUGCUGUGGAUGAUUUCCAGUAUAAAUCAGACAGAAGCAGGAGACAGGCAAAGGGAAAAGGAGCGGCUCAAGCAGUGUCGCAGAGGAAACCGGUGCCAGAGCUGAGGACAGCACCCAGCCUUGUGCUGCAGGACUGCGUGUUCUCCCAAAAGACAAUGAAGAGCUGCUCUCUUUUCUGUGAAUUACUGUGUUUCCCCUUUAUGUGGAUCAUAAAACACAGAGCGGCAUCGGCACCCAAGCCUUCCCACUCCGCCCACGUCACCAAACUCCUGCUCUUUAGAGAAAUACCACCCAGAGCCACGUAAGCCUACACUACCCCACAACAGUUCACUUAGGCUAAAAUUUGGUCUUGCUCAGCUUUUAGGGGCAUCAGUUGCUCUUGCAAUCAGUGCUUCCAGCUAGGUGCUAGCUUUUUGCUUGGAGGUUGUUCCUUAGAGCUCAUUCAAGUGUGAUUUCAGAGUUUCUCUAGGCUUUUGCACGUAACGUACCGACUUGAAGGGAAAAAGGAAGAGAGGUAGCUUUCUGAGAGGAAGGUACGUAUGAGCGUUGAUGUUUUGGUAACUCCCUCCCAGGGAAUCUUAUCAGCACUGGGUACUGGUUAAUAUCUCUGCUUGUGUGCCCUUCCUUUUCAGAGCAUAGCAAUUGCAUCAAGUGUUUGCCCCAGCUGCCUAGCAA